Molecule: long non-coding RNA, 383 nt
Filed under: Citrus x clementina
Lineage: Eukaryota; Viridiplantae; Streptophyta; Magnoliopsida; Sapindales; Rutaceae
Description: Citrus clementina (C. clementina) long non-coding RNA (CCLE_LNC004228)
Source: RNAcentral
AUUCUGAUUAUAAUAUAUAGAAAAAAAAAUAUCUGUCCAUUACUCACGUCUCACGAUCGGUAUAACUAACUUGUUUGAGUUGUUUCUGUCGUUAACCCCGUAGAAUAACAUAUUUAGCUGACGUGUAAGCGUGUGUACAGCCUGACGUAUCGAUUAGAUAAAAACAAACCAAUAACGUGUUCACACGUCAUCCAAUAUGACCGACUUCUUGUGGACACGUAAUGUUUCGUCUUUAUUUGAAGGUGCAGUAAUUUUGCGUCGGCCCAGCCUGUCACUUGCUGUCUUCAACGUGGCCCGACAAACAUUGUUCCAGCAAUACAAAUGUCAGAUUUUGGGAUUUCGAUCCAGAUUUCAUUUCCGUUACUAUCUUAUUUUAUUCAAUU